Molecule: microRNA precursor, 103 nt
Filed under: Marmota monax (woodchuck)
Lineage: Eukaryota; Metazoa; Chordata; Mammalia; Rodentia; Sciuridae
Source: RNAcentral
AGUUGGAUAGCUGGGUCAAAUGGUGGUUGCAUUCCCAGUUUUCUGAGGAAUCUUCAUGCUGCUUUCCAUAAUAGUUGCACCAAUUUGCAGUUCCCCCAGCAAU